UUACGACCGUAUCACGUUGAAACAUCGGUACCCGUACGAUCACAGAAGUUAACCAACGUCGAACCUGGUCAGUACCUAAAUGGGUGACCGCUUUGAAAUACCAGGUGCUGUAAG
Molecule: non-coding RNA, 114 nt
Organism: Acanthosepion pharaonis
Lineage: Eukaryota; Metazoa; Mollusca; Cephalopoda; Sepiida; Sepiidae
Source: the annotation of a GenBank genome assembly